AAGCAUAUCAAUAAGCGGAGGAAAAGAAACCAACAGGGAUUGCCUUAGUAACGGCGAGUGAAGCGGCAACAGCUCAAAUUUGAAAUCUGGCCCUUGGGUCCGAAUUGUAAUUUGUAGAGGAUGAUUUUUGGUGCGGUAUCUUCCGAGUUCCUUGGAACAGGACGCCUUAGAGGGUGAGAGCCCCGUACGGUUGAAUGCCUAGCCUCUGUAAAUCUCCUUCGACGAGUCGAGUAGUUUGGGAAUGCUGCUCUAAAUGGGAGGUAAAUUUCUUCUAAAGCUAAAUAUUGGCCAGAGACCGAUAGCGCACAAGUAGAGUGAUCGAAAGAUGAAAAGCACUUUGAAAAGAGGGUUAAAUAGCACGUGAAAUUGUUGAAAGGGAAGGAUUUGUGACCAGACUUUUUCUGGGCGGAUCAUCCGGGGUUCUCUCCGGUGCACUUCGCCCAGUAAAGGCCAGCAUCGGUUUUCGGCGUGGGAUAAAAGCAGUAGGAAUGUGGCUCUCUACGGGGAGUGUUAUAGCCUAUUGUAUAAUACCGCGCUGGGGACCGAGGUUCGCGCUUCUGCAAGGAUGCUGGCGUAAUGGUUAUCAAUCACCCGUCUUGAAACACGGACCAAGGAGUCGAACAUUUGUGCGAGUGUUUGGGUGUUAAACCCUCACGCGUAAUGAAAGUGAACGGAGGUGAGAGCCCUUACGGGUGCAUCAUCGACCGAUCCUGAAGUUUUCGGAUGGAUUUGAGUAAGAGCAUAACUGUUCGGACCCGAAAGAUGGUGAACUAUGCGUGGAUAGGGUGAAGCCAGAGGAAACUCUGGUGGAGGCUCGCAGCGGUUCUGACGUGCAAAUCGAUCGUCAAAUCUGCGCAUGGGGGCGAAAGACUAAUCGAACCAUCUAGUAGCUGGUUACCGC
Molecule: ribosomal RNA, 901 nt
Filed under: Neopestalotiopsis sp. 26 SSNM-2014
Lineage: Eukaryota; Fungi; Ascomycota; Sordariomycetes; Amphisphaeriales; Sporocadaceae
Description: LSU rRNA
Rfam family: Eukaryotic large subunit ribosomal RNA
Source: RNAcentral